UACGUAGGGUGCAAGCGUUGUCCGGAAUUAUUGGGCGUAAAGAGCUCGUAGGCGGUUUGUCGCGUCGAAUGUGAAAUCCCGGGGCUCAACCCCGGGUCUGCAUUCGAUACGGGCAGACUAGAGUUCGGUAGGGGAGUCUGGAAUUCCUGGUGUAGCGGUGGAAUGCGCAGAUAUCAGGAGGAACACCGGUGGCGAAGGCGGGUCUCUGGGCAGUAACUGACGCUGAGGAGCGAAAGCGUGGGGAGCGAACAGG
Molecule: ribosomal RNA, 253 nt
Filed under: uncultured bacterium
Lineage: Bacteria
Description: partial 16S ribosomal RNA
Rfam family: Bacterial small subunit ribosomal RNA
Source: RNAcentral